Molecule: long non-coding RNA, 10713 nt
Organism: Uranotaenia lowii
Lineage: Eukaryota; Metazoa; Arthropoda; Insecta; Diptera; Culicidae
Exons: 5
Source: RefSeq, a predicted model, not a curated record
AUUCUACGUUCAUAAUUGAUAGUUCGUUAUGAAGCUUGUGUGAAAUUUCCUCGUUUUCAGAUUGGAACCAUAUUCCGAUUCCAGUUCCUGUUUCAGAUUUUGAUCCAUCUGUGUAGACUUUGUUGUGGUUCUUGUAUUUUUCUGCUAUAUGGUUUAUUGUAAGAAUUUUGGCUGUAUUUUCGUUCAUUGAGUUCUUAUAACCUGUUAUUUGUGUGUAGAUUUUUGGGUUUUCUAGUCUGUUCAUUUGGUUCUUUAUAUCUGGGGUGAUGGAUGACUGAUCUGUUUGUACUAGGAGGUAAUUGUUUUUCUAGGCGUGUAAAUACAGUGACGAUGAUGGAUGAUGAUGACAUUUAUCAUUCUCUAUCAUAUCCCUGUCAGGAACGUUUGCUCAAUCGGGCCGAUUGCAAAACAGACAUGGCGGCACUCGAAUUCUAGCGGUUAGAAUUCGGUCAGUUUUCGGCUCGAUUUCCAUCCGCCUGCUCGAUUGCUCGAAAACAGACGAUAUUUUUCGCAGUGCUGCGAUGAACAAAACGAAACACGAGCAGUUUUCAAUCGCAGCAAUCCGGGUGCGUGAUUGUUGUGAAUUGUGUUGUGGAAUUUGGUCGCAGUUCUGUUUCUGCCUUUUCCGUUGCUGUUCAAAAAUGCUUUGAGCGGAAGAAGCCAUGUCCGCCAAUCAUUUAAUCAUAAGCAAGAAAACAUCAAAAUGUCCCGGGUGUACGGGCUUUGGUGGAAUGUCAUCCCGGACAACGGAUCCGGAUCCCGUACCCACUCAGAGGUGGCAUCACAUGGAUUAGUUUUAAUUAGUUUUUGGUGUGAAACUUCAAAGUGGAAAGCAAGAAAACAUCGACCCAUGCAAACAAAGCUUCCAAAGAAAUGUCCACACGGUACGGAUUCUGGUGGAAUGUCAUCCUGGACAUCGUAUCCGGAUCCGGAUCCCGGAUACGCUUCACUUAAUUUUAAUCGGUUUUCGGUGUGAUAGUUCAAAGUGAAAAGCAGGUGAGUACCGUUGUCACCAUUAUUUACUAUUUACUUAUUAAACUGACCUUUCUCAAGAUUUAAAUUUUAAUUCUUGUGGAUUUUUGGCUCAUUUUUGAGUUUAUGGGAUGAAUCAUCCAAUACGAUAAAAAUCUCUUCAAAAUUACAAAUAAACAAACUCGACUUUUAGUUUCGUGACAUGGCUCGCACAAAGUAAGUUGUAACAAAACCUACCGGAGGAAACGCAUCUUGUAAUUGGCUACCAAAGCCACCCGUUCGAAAAGUGGCCCGUUCGUUCAAAAUAUCAUUGGGGAUGUAUAUUUGCUGACACUGAUCCAACCAAAAACAAAACAAUCAUAAAAACAAAAAUAAAACAAAUUUGUGUCUUGGAAAAUUUUCCAGUUUUUAUUUAAUCGUUUGAUCAAACUGUGUAAGAGAUUGUUCCGAGUUUUAUCCCGGUAGUGUCUUUUCGUCGGUGAUAGCUGGAAGUAAAUGAGGACUGCAAGCUUCCAAAAGUUUUACUACGUUGAAACUCAUCACAGACCAUUCGAAAAAGUCUGUAUCGAUGGAUUGGACGCCGAGAAAACAACCGGAUGCGGGUGAUCGUAGUUCGGAUUCAAGAUUAUUUUUGAUUUAGAAGUAAAAUCAGAAAAAAAAUCGCUUCCUGCUGUGCAAAAUUCUAGUUUAGCUUAUUGUCUUAGUUUUAUUCAUGCUUUGAUUAAUUGAAUUUCUACGAUCCGGUUACAAUUUACAGGUGGCCACGAAGAAAAACAAGUUCAACCAAUUAUUGCAUACUUUUUUCACUAAAUCGGUUGUUCUUGGAAAACAUGUAUCAAACUAUGGUUUAAAAGUACCAUCGGAAGGGAUCCCGCAAAUUUCUUUGCAGGUUUGUAUCCUUAUUUCUUUAUAACGAAAUAAUAACAUAAAUAAAAAAACAUAAAUAAAAUAACAUUUCAUUUCAGGAAUCCAAGAAGUCGGCCCGAGACUUAAAAACUUGAAAUCGAAUUGACUGCUCCAUUCAAGCGUUCUUCGGUUGAGAAAACUCCUUGAGUUCAAUUUAUAACAGCUGCGGGAUUGCACUCGCUACAGUGUUUUAAUCACAAUUGUGAUCUUCGUCUGGGACAUCAUGUGAACGAACAGUUUUGAAGAUUGAAUCAAAUGGAAAUCCCGGAAUCUAGAAUCGCUACCUGUUGGUAAUGAAAUGGGUGAGUUUGCUUUUCUAAUGUUAUUGUGUUUAUCAUGAUUUUAUUUUGUUUAAUUGCACACAAUCACUAUAAAAACUACACCUGGUUUUGACACUAUUCAAUCCUAACUUUAAAACAGAUUCUACUGAUAAGCAGCUUGAACUUCAAAUUAUAAAUAAUUGUAUUUAAACGAAUGCACCUUGAAUAAGUUUGUAAAAUAUAGUUUUGUGUGAUUAUUCUUUAUGUUUUACAGACGAAUAAGUGCCUAAACUCUUUUUGUGUUCCUUUUUUGCAGCAAUUUCAUGAGACAAGCAUGGCCCAGUGGCAUACAACAUAGAAUUUUCGUUCGAGGUGGUCGCCCUGGUCGUUGACUUUGGGCAUCAUCUGCACAUGCUGCUGUGGGCAAAUGUGUUCCUUUCGUUGGCCAGCCUGGUGAUCAUCGUGCAGUUCCGCUGUCUGAACAACGAGAUACAAAGGGAGUUCAAGAAGCACCGUAACUACCCGUGGGUGCUAGACUACAUGGAAAAUAGCUGUCCCCUAGCGACGGCCGAAGAUCUGAAUUCUGACAACGGUGUCAUAUGCUCAGGGCUAGAAGCGACCAUGCGGUAAAAAAGUAGGGCAAAAUAGUUACUUACAAGUGAAAUUAGGGUAAAAUUAGUGACCAGAUCAAGACGAAACCUUACUCAAAAAUGACUUCGAAUACUAAAAUGAAAGGCUUUAAAGACAAUUCUGUUUAUUGAAAAAAAUUUAUUGAAAGGCCUUUGGCCUCACUAGUAGAAAAGCAAUAUAUUGGACAAAAGAGGAACAAUGGGGAGGAAAGCAAAAGAUUGUACCCAGAUGAAUGAUUUUGAAAAUUCACUCUAUAGUGUAUACACCCAACUCAGGUUUUUUUCAAUGUCACUAAAACGGUUGAAAAAGUCUAAAAUUAUAUUAAAAAAAGUUAACAAUUCUUCAUAAAUUUACAAAAACCAAAAUUUUAAACAAAAUUGUUAUACUUAUGUGAGAAAUCUACAAAUACAAAUGAAAAACCAGCACAUGUUAAACGAAAAGUUUAAAGAAUUUACAUGAAGUUAUGUUAAGAUUUACAUUUGCAGAAAUUUCAUGUCAUGAAAGUCUUUAUUUUCUAAUUCAGUGUUUAGGAAGCAAGUUACAGAGUUUUACAUUUCACCCAACGUUUCGGCCUUUGAUCUUGGCAAUCUUCAAGGGAUAAUUUGCAUUUUACUGUAUGUGUUUCUGAGUGUAUAUCCACUGUGUGAAGAGAAUUUCUGUCGGAUUUUAACCUGUUUUAAUGAUUUUUUAAUCGCCGAGGUCGUAAUUGAAUAAAAACUGUUGGAUUUGGUUUGGACACUUUUCUUGUAGCUUGUUUACUUGUAAACCUCUUAAAUCCGGAUUUACCGAUUUCUUUGUCCAUACUUCUUAACCAGUUGAUCAAAAAAAUUCAGAAAAAUUAACAGUUGAUGAGUUUUAAAGUCGACAAUUAAUUUUACCAUGUUUUAUUGCAUCGUUAAUUCCUUAAAAACACGUAAAUUCAAAAAUCUGAAAAAAUAGGCAAGAUAGUCUAUUUCUUAACCAACACAACGCUGCUAAAGUUUUGCAUAUCCUAGUUCUAGUAACGUAGCUAUCACCGAAAUUAAGUGCCCGGAUACUGAAUAAUCAUAGCUUUAGUAUAAUACAUAUUAUUCCUUGAAGAAGGCCAAGAUCAAAGGCUGAAACGUCGGGCAGAUUGUUAAACUCUGUAAUUUGCUUCCUAGAUACUGAAAUGCCAAUUAGAAAGUGAAAGAGUCAUGAAAUUAAAAAUUGGGAGGUCCUCUUAAAAACAAUGAAACGACAGAAUGAUGACAGAAAAUUGACAAUGAUUCAAAGAAGCUUAGCGAAAAAUUGUCUUGUAAUUCAAGAUAAUAACACAAAAAAGGCUAAAAAAAAUUACGAGACUAAUGUUCAAGGUAGAAUUUAAAAUUUCAAAUUUAAACUAAUUCAAAGAAAAUUAAACUACAUAAAUGCAUCAUUUCCAAAGAGAUUUACUGCAAACUUUAUUGCAUGAUUCACAUAUCAAUUAUUUGAAAAAUUUACUAGAAAAUAAAUUAGGUUCAAAAAGGUAGGAACUAAAAAAAAAUAUUCAUAAAUGAUUUAACACGACGAUUUCUUGAAAAAAUUAACAGAUCCAAGAAACACCUCAGGAAUACUGUAGAAAAUACAUCAGUAAACCUCUAAAAAGGUACAGAAAUGACUGAAAGGUAUCGAAAAUUUCAAAUAGGUUUUGAAAUCUUAAAUUUAUAUCUACAAAUCUUUCAAAGGAUUCGAAAAUGUCUAGAAAUAAGGAACUUAGAAAUGAAGUAAAUGAUGUUUUAGAUUAAAUUGAGUUGCUUUUUUUAAUUCACACGACCUGAAUUGGGAUAAUGGCUCAGAUUCAGUUAGGAAGAUAGUUGUUUUGUUUUGCUUUGGUAUAUUGCUUACACUUAAUCAUUGUUUGGAUUAAAAUUUGAAUUUGAACAAAAAAAGUUUUUCCAAAAAAAAAAUAUGUUGUUUUUAGUUUAUUUGUGACACUUUAACAACGUUUUAGCAUUUUAUAUUUCCUAUAGAGACAAAGCAAAACAAAACAACUAUCUUCCUAACUGAAUCUGAGCCAUUCUCCCAAUUCAGGUCGUGUGAAUUAAAAAAAGGAAAGGGAAGAAAAGGUGCCCAUCAAAUAUAUAAUAAACGAAUAAACUAAUAAUAAACUAAUAAAUACAUACUGCGUGCCUUGAAAAAAAAAUAUAAUGUUUUUAAUAAACAGAUGAAAAAGUUAAAAAAUAGGCUCAGUUGUAAGGAAAUUAUUAGAAAAAUAGUGACUUUAGUGACCAAAUUUCAGAAAAAGUAACUUGUGAGUGACCAGCCUGAAAAAAGUGACAAAGUUACUAAAAAGUGACCAACUUCUAGCCCUGUAUGCUGGGAGAAGAUGGAAACCGCCCGGAAGCUGCCCUGUUCGCAUCUGUUUCAUAACUCAUGCCUUCAAUCUUGGUUGGAACGGGACACCAGUUGGCUUACGUGUCAGCUCGGGUUAAGCGUUAACAAUGCCAAUGUGGCCAAUAUUUUGCAGAAUGAAAUCCGCAUCGAUGACCCGGAACCGGUUGACGGUUUGGAUCGGGACGAACGGUAAUCCGGUUUCUUGGAAAACGGCGGCUGAAAAUCAUACCUAGCAAGUCAGGAUCAUGGCCCGGCACGUCCAGGAGAUGUUCCCCCGAUUUCCAAUGUCUACGGUCAUUGCCGAUCUGAGCAUAUCGCGAUCGAUCGAAGUCACAAUUGAUCCUGGAAGGGCGCAUUCCAGCCAGCAUUCUCGUCAGCAGCAUUCAACAUCAUUAUCGGUGGCUUCCACGCCCAGCUCCGACAGUUCCUCCGCGCCGCUGCCAAAAGCUUUUCUCAAUAACAAAGGUAAUUAGAAACUUACAUAGGUAUUUAACUAUUAAAGUUCCUACAAAUAUGUUAGUUUAUUGUUUUGAUAUUCCAUAAUAUUAUGUUUUACAUUUCAGCCAAUCGAUUCCAAUGAUAACGCAUUUUGGGAACAGUUCUGGUGCGAGCAUAGCUCUCCAGUUCAAGAUGUGUUUGCGCUGAUUCCAUCGAAUGAGAUACGGAAAGUUCAGGAUGUUAUGCCAGCGAAUUUGGCAACUUAAUGCUACAAAGCAACAGAACGAUUGGUCCGAGCGGUGGACAACAGUUGUCGUACCCAGGGGAAACAGCAAACGGUGCUAAACUCUAUCCGUUUGCUUAAUCGAACAUUGCCAUGUAUUUUUGAGGAUGUGCAGUGGAAAGAUUUCUUCUGGUCUUCACUUCUGGCUAAUGAUAAAGAAAACGGAGACACUCCAUUGGCGUAUGUUGAAUGCCAUAGGCGACUUAUUGUUCUGUCCCGAAUUUAUAUUUGUGGGAUUGUGAAAAUCGGGUCGGAAAAAGUCGAAGAACUCAAUUUUAUCGAUAGUUGCGAAUACAUAUAGGAAGCAGGCGUAGGAUUUGCUCAGUCGCCUCCCAGGAAUGGAAACAUGGAUGCUCGUCGUACCGAACUUGAUUGAUGCUAACUUGUUUUAGCGAAAUAAUGUAUCGAGCGCGAAUAUGCGUGACGAGCGCAAGAAAUGGAUUGUACAUUUUACAAGUGCUGGCAACCGACAUGCAUUUCCUUUGUCCACUUCACUCCUCAACACGGUUUGCGCUUAAGAUACAGUUGGCAUGGGAGUGCCCUACAAUCAUCUGCUGUUUACCGACACGUUGGAACCGCUGGUGGAAGUUUGCUUGCAGAACCUUAUUGUGAUACUUGAUUAAGACAUCUCGAGCAACACGCCUACCCAAACCACGUCCUAUUCACAUGACAAGGUAUGUAACGAGGUUGCUGAUUUGAUUUUUCCUUUGAUUUAAAAUUUUUAUAAGGUACACCGGGGUAAGUGGGGACGAUGGCUAUUAAAACAAUACUGUAAACUCUUUUUUCAAACUUUUGAUGCAGAAUGUUCAAUUUUCUUGUAAUUUAUCCAAUAACUGUGAAAAAGAUACGAUUACGACAAUAACGAAUCCGCACAGCGACUUUUGGGAAUUUUCUAUUUUCAUCUACGAUGUCGAGUUGAUUUGCAUCUUUUUCAAUUGCAAAUUUCUCGUAAACACAAAUACAACUGGCAAUUUUCAUAGAACUUAAAAUAACUUUUAGUAAAUUCCAACCUUUUUCAUUCUAGCAAGAAAGUAUCCGGCUGAUCCCAUCCGGAACUCACGGUUUCCACUUAAAGGUUUGGCAACCGUCUUCGGAAUGGGUUCAAUCCUGGCGCUCCAAGCUGCCACUGCAGACCAUAAUGCGGUUGUUUCAGGUUCCUGCAGCAUGGAACAUUAGUUGGUUUGCUGUCGGUACCGCAUCCGAUUUUGAUAAGAAAGUACCAAGCCAACCGUGGCCCGACCCCGAUAGCAAAAUUUGGAACACAGCGGAAGAUUUAAUCCAUCAGGUCCGUAACUUUGGCUCCAACACAAAUUGGAAGAAACAAAAAGAUCGAGCUCUGUACAGCAACAGCGAAGAUUAGCUGUCGAAAAUGUCGUCUGCGUAUUUCAGAUAUCAGUAUUUGAUCUGUUUGUGAAUCGUAUGCGUUUUCGUGUUUUCUGAGUAGCCGUUAUAGAGCAAUCUGGUUUCAACUGACCAGCAGUAUUUUAAACAACUUUUCGUUAUUCUGAGAUGACCCCACUAGCUGCCCUCCGACUUUGUUUGAAUCGCAACUUGUCCGUGUUCAUUUUAGUAUAAUGGAGCUUUAUUUAGUUUUCAAUAUUGGUAAAAAAUAAUUUUGAAUGCUGGGCUGGAGGAGGUCUAUUUUUUCAUGAUCCAUGUUGAUAAGAUGAAUGGGAGUUGAAACACUUGCCCUCUCUUCUGCAUAACAAUCGCAACAUCCGAUUGACAGGGAAAGUAUCACAAUUUGCCAUUAUAAUAGCUGAUACUUUCAAUAGGGCAUAAUUCUUGUGGCUGGGUGGUUAGUUAGUUGGUUUAGUUUAAUAGAAUUAAAAAAGAGAAAAAGUGUAAGAAGUAUUGCGAUGUUAGGUAAAGGUUAUGGUAUUCGCCUCCCCAAUGCUCUAGUAAGUUUGUAUUUGCGGUUUAUGAAUUUCGUUGGCUUAUUCUUUGAUCAAGCAUUUUACAAGAACUAGAGGCUCAUUAGAUGGGAACGGUCUUAUUGAAGAAUAUGAUAUUUUUUUGGUAAGACGCUUUUUGCUUUUUUUUUAAUUUAAUCAUUCACUUUUGGCAGAUCUUCACAUUUUUCGGUUAGGGAUGGAAAUAGAUAGUAAAAUGUAUGAUAUUGAAGAACAAUAAUGAGUAGGUAGUCCAGAUAACUGAUUUCGGGCAUUUAAAAAUAGGCACACGGUAUAUUUUAAUAGAACCCCUAAGUAGACUUAGUAUAGUUUGUCAGAUGAGGUUUAAGAAGAACAGCAUUGUGCAUUUCCUGAUCUGUUCCUGUUCUGUAUACGAUAUUUAAGCUAGAUUUAUUAUUAGUUUGGGCUAGGCUUCUUAUAUUAUAUUGAUAGAUAAUAUGAACUAAUAUCCUAUUUUUCUAUUCCUUUUUCUCUUUUUUGUAUUCCUUUUAAUGUUACCUUCGGAGGAUGACGAAAGAGCUUCGAGUGGAAAACUCGAACAACCUUCAAGCCAUCUCCUCACAACAUCAGACCCCGAAGAUGGUUUCGCAUGGUGUGGAAGUCAUCCCAAGGAUUUGAUCAACACCUGAAAUUAGACAAAUUGCUCAAAAAGAAGAAGCUUGCGCCAGACAUCGCAAUGUCUUAAGCAGGAGAGGCAGCAAAAGAAUCAAUUAGAAGAAAAAAACAUGAAAAAUAAAACAAAUGAAAUAAAAGUCUAUAGCUUUUUGUAAACAAACCGAAAAACCUGAAUGAUUGGCAACCAUGCUAAUCGGUCCAGAAACGGUUCGGAAAACCGUUCGGGUUCGGUCCGAAAUCGGUCCUUUUUUUUUAAUGGACGCUAUAGCAAUCGGCCCAGAAACGGUUCGAAAAUUAGUUCGGAUUCGGUCCGAAAUCGGUCCUUUUUUUCGGAUGGAUACUAUGGCAAUCGGCCCUGAAACGGUUCGAAAAAUCGUUCGGAUUCGGUCCGAAAUCGGUUCUUUUUUCGGAUGGACGCUAUGGCAAUCGGCCCAGAAACGGUUCGAAAACCGUUCAGAUUCGGCUGGAAAACGGUCCGCUUGUUUUGACAUUCGAUCUGCUCGAACUGGUUGAAAAAACUUAUCGUCGUCCGAAAAAGUGUUUCAUUUUCGCACGAUUUUCUACUAAAUUCGGCCCGAUUUCUUAUACGAUUUCGGACCGAUCGAGCAGAUGAACGGACAAAAAUCGGGCCGAUUUCGGGCGAUUUUUCCUGACUGGGAUGUUAUAAUCAUUCCCAAUAAACCAUUAAGCCCUGUUGUAAGCCGCAUAAUGGACAAAUAACAGCACUUCAGUGCCUAUUAGCCGUAAAUAAUGAUUUUUAAUGCCUAUAGGCACUGUUCGAAAGACGACGUUAAAAAGGCCGUAUAUUGGUUUUGAUAUGGUGCUUCAGGGCUUCAAAGCCCUGAAGAUCAAAUUGACAUCAGUAAAUGACAUCUGGGCCUUGGAGAAAAAUAAUAAUAUUAUUUAGAUAUGAAUCGAAAAGAAGAAGGACACAAAUGCUUCAUAAAGUUUUCACGAUCGGAUUGAGCAUUUUGUGUCGCUACGGUUCUAAAAUCCUGCGCAAAGUACAAAUUAAAUCGACGGAUGAAAGUGGAUGCGAGCCAGCAUCUGUCCGAAUGGAAUUCCCGAUACACCAGAACAUUUUCGUUUAAAACACCGGCAGCCCGAAAUUCGAACCCACCGAGCAAUUGGAGGAACAGCGGGAGCUUUCGAUGCAGAUUUCUGCAUGUUUUUUCGUGGUUUACUUGAAGUACUGUCUGGCAAUCCUCGGAGCGCGAUGAUGUUCUGGAACGGAUGUAUUUUUACGUGCUUUCACUUCCUCAGAUAAGCAUGCAGAGCUAUCAAGUGUUGACAAUAAAGUGUACAUUCAUUGUGUUCCUGUGAUCAAUAAAAAUGCUUAUUUAAUAUUUAUAAUUCUCAAUCUCUACGAUGCUUUCCUUUAAAUCGCAACUCAAAAAUAUUCAUUUAAGUAAGCCUUAUUUUAGCUUGUUGGCAUAAGAACGUAGGUGGAUCAUGCGGUAAAGUCACCAAACAAUACAUAUUCCUAAAAAUUAUAUGUUCGAUUCCAGUUCCUAUCCAACAGCUAUUGAAAAAAUACGAGUGUGAGGGAGAUAGAAAGAGGACAAAGAAAAAUAGCUUUGGGGGAAGAGGGCGACAAAACUCUUUUUUUUUUGUCUUUUCUUGCUGCGAAAAUAUUUUGACAGCUUUGCAUUGGCGUGAUCCAAAAGUGGGGUCAAGCCGUUAAUCGGCCGAAAUACACGCCAAAAGUGGCUUUAGAACAGCACUAUAGUCGAAUAUAGGGCUUUAUGAGCUUUUAAAGCAGGUUCUAUAUUAGAAUAUAAGGCUGAAUUAGGGCCAAUUUUAACGGCCUAAUGGUUACUUGGGUUAUCAUCAAAAAUUAUUUGUGGACUACACGCUCGUUUUUAUUUAACCAUAUAUUGGGAAUUCGGCCGUGACCUGUCCAAUCUGUGUAAAAUCUGUCGGAGUUCUACACGCUUUCCACUUUUCAGUCAACUUUUAUACGGAUAGCUGCGACUUAAAAACCACUGAAUACACUGACUGGACACUCGAUUUCGUUUUCUAGAUAAUUUUUCCAACAGUACGCAAUAUCGAUUCCAGAGUGCGCAUCGAUCGAUUUGAAGAAAUGCUAUCCCAGUUAGGAAAUGCCACCCAACUUAAAAAAAACAGGCAAUUUCUACGAUAAAAUCGGGCAUAACAGGUACAUUUUUCCUAAAUCCAAUUUGCAAUGAAAGGGAAUAAACGCAGCGUUCUUAGAUUGGCUUCGCAACCAUGACUGCGACUGCGACAUUUGUGCGCACUCGUACAUUAGGUACAUUCAGGGAUGCUAGGUGUUAAGGAUAAAACAAUCUGGGCAGUUUGAAAAAAAAAGUCUGUUACGUCUGUGCACAAGGAAGAUCACAAA